UAUUUUCCAUUCCUUUAAUCAUUCUUGUGGCCUUUCUCUGAAUCCUCUCCAAUUAAUCAGCAUCCUCCUUAUGUUGUGUACACCAGACCUGGACAUACUAUUCCUGUAGCAGUUACACCGGUGCCAAAUACAAAGAUCAAAAGCCAAGUCAUCCAGCUUACCAUUUGGGAUCUUCUCUUCAUAGAUGAUGCUGCAUUCUUCUCUAACUCACCUGAUGAAUUGCAGAUCAUGAUGAACAGAUUCUCUGUUGCAUGUAUCAAGUUCGGCAUGGUAAUCAGUAUCAAGAAAACAGUUUCCAUGUAUGACGAGGUGUGGGGAAUCCUGUCCAGUGCGAGGCAAUUCCUCAUUUCAGCUGCAAGAGUGAGCUGCUUCCCUCACCAUCUCAGUGAAAUAUCUCUGAUGCUUGUUGG
Molecule: long non-coding RNA, 410 nt
Organism: Chelonoidis abingdonii (Abingdon island giant tortoise)
Lineage: Eukaryota; Metazoa; Chordata; Testudines; Testudinidae
Source: RefSeq, a predicted model, not a curated record